Molecule: long non-coding RNA, 8380 nt
Filed under: Marmota monax (woodchuck)
Lineage: Eukaryota; Metazoa; Chordata; Mammalia; Rodentia; Sciuridae
Source: RNAcentral
GUUUGACUGUUUGAAAGACCAAUAAUUUAGUAUCAUCAACAGAUGGAUUGGAUGCUGGACAGAAAUGAGUGUUUUCCUUUUGCUAUAGAAGACAUCAGUGAGUCAGUUGGCAAAUUUUAAAUAAGGUCUAUAGUAAAUGUAUUACUAUUCUAUUAUUUCAUUAUUGCACUGUAGUUAUAUAUUAGAAUAUCCUCAUUUUUCAAAAAUGCACACUGAAGUGUUUAGAUGUGAAGGAACAACUAUUUGCAAUUUACUCUCAAAAAACUGGGCUAGAGGGCUGGGAGUUGUGGCUCAGUGGUAGAGCGCUUGCCUAGCAUAUGGGAGGCACUGGGUUCGAUCCUCAGCACCACAUAUAAAUAAAUAAAGUAAAGGUCCAUAGGCAACUAAUAGAAAAAAAAAUUUUUUUUUAAAAAAACUGGGCUAGAGAUAUAGAGAGUGAUAAAGUAAACAUGGUAAGACCUUAGCAUGGAGAGGGUAGGUGGGAAUUCUUAGUACAAUGGGAGGUUUUCUCUAAAUCUGAAAUUAAAAGGUUUUCAAAAGGUCUUUUUUGGGGGGUUGUUUAAUCACAUUUCAAGGAGAUCCAUCCAUUACAUUUGGUUGACUAAUUCAUUAUGGUUCUUAUAUCUGUAGCAGUUCACAUUUCUUUUAUGCCAUUUAUUUGUCAAUGAAACUGGAUCAUUUAUUUCACUUUUUUAAUUUGGAUGAUUGUAUCCUUGUGUGACAUGUUCCUGUAUCACCCAUUUUUCCUGCAGAUUUAGAAACUUCAUUAAAUUUAAAUUCAAAACUUUUUGCAAGACUACUUCAUAAGAAGUACUGUGUAGUUCCUAUAAUAUUACAUCAGGUACAUAAUAUCUGAUGUACUAUUUUUAGAGAUAAAAUUGCUUAGUGUUGGGCACAGUGGCAUGCACCUAUAAUCCCAGCUACUAGGGAGUUUGAGGCAGGAGGAUCUCUUAAGCCCAGAAGUUCCAGCCCUGAGCAACUCAGCAAGACCCCUUCUCAGAUAGAUAGAUAGAUAGAUAGAUAGAUAGAUAGAUAGAUAGAUAGAUAGAUAGAUAGAUAGAUAGAUCCAUUGCCAGUUUGUUGUAUCAUUAUAAAGUUCCCCAUAUCUUUCAUCUAGUAUAAUAUCCAUUGGUAAUUAUUUUCUAUAUCCAUUAUAUUUUUUGAGGUUGUAAAAUGGUGAUUUUCUAAUUCUGUCCUUUCUUUAUAUAUAAAUUCUUUACACAACAUAUUUGCUACAUAGCACUGUAGUCUGAGGUUCUAGUUUUUAAUCAUCAAUGCCAGCCUGUAUAGACAGUGCCCCCAAAUUAAUCUUGGAGUCAUGGGACCUGUCCAGAGUUUGAAAAGUCAGUUUCUCCCACAUGUGAUCCUAAAUUGACUGGAUUUAUAAAUCACAGCAGCUCUGACCAUGCCUUUAGAUGUCCAGGCCUCCAGCUCUGCAGACACCUAUGGAAAAAUGGUGCCCUUAUAAUGAACAAUGGCUAAGUGAAAGACAAAAUUAAAUUGUUUUAAAAUGAAAGAUUUAAAAAGUGGUCCUGUGGGCUGGGGCUGUAGCUCAGUUUCCUAGCACAUGUGAGGCACUGGGUUCGAUCUUUAGCACCACAUAAAAAUAAACAAAUAAAAUAAACGCAUGCUGUCUAUUAAAAAAAAUAAUAAUAAGCAAUCCUGUUCCUAGACCACUGUUUCUAGGAGUCAGAUCUCAAAUGUCAAGGAAUGUAUGGAAUGUCUUCUACACUGUUCUUCAGUCUUAGAACAGGAGCAAUGGAAGAAUUUAACAAAGUAAACCAAGAAUAACAAGCUUUGAGAAAGAGGUUUUUUGAAGAAAAAGUUGAUAGUUUAGAGAACAAGUCAGGUAGAUUUUUCUCUUUGCCUCCCUGGCUUUCUGAGGACAAACUGCCACCAUGAAUGACACAGUAACUUUCCAGACCAGCAAGUUCAUACCCAACGACUACUUCAGAGGAAACAAAUGGUUGAUGAUGUUCUUUACCCUGUGAAAGCAACAGUACCUAAGAAAGAAAUUUGAUAAAAAAAUUAGCCAAAAUGUACAAGACCACAUCAGAUGUCAUCUUUGUGUUUGGAUUCAGAAUCCAUUUUGGAGGUGACAAGAUAAGUUAAUGAUUCCUUGGAUUAUGCAAAGAAAAAUGAACCCAGACAUAGACUGGCAAGACAUGGUCUGUAUGAAAAGAAAAAGAUUUCAAGAAAACAGUAAAAGGAACACAAGAACAUAAUGAAGAAAGUCAAGGGGACUGCAAAGGCAGAUGUUAGUGCUGGCAAAAAGCCAGUCUCUGUGGUGAUUGUGCAAACUGAUUACAAGGAUUCAUAAACUGAAAACUUAAAAAGAAAUGGUAACUUGGACCCAGUGAAAUCCAAUAGGAAAAGAAGCAAAAUCUCAGGAAACUGUACUGCCUCUAAAAGAAGGAACAAGAAUAUGGGCACUUCUUGGCCAAGUGCUUUUAGAGCUACAUAGAGACUUCUUGGUAAGAACUGCUCCUUCAAGCCUGGGACAGUGAUAUCAAGUAUUCCCUGAAGGUCUCGACAGUCUAAGAAGAAAAAUCAGUCAAAAGAAAGUAGCUACUCAAGGUAUUACUUAAUGGGUGUCCAAAUGUCACUUGAAUCAUAGAUGGAGACACAGCCUUUGCGGUACCAGAGGAAACAUGCCUGAGAAAUUUGUACAGCUGAGACUCCAAAUGAAGAUGGCAAGGAAGGCAAAACACAGGAGAGCCAGGCCUGGAUAAGCUAUUAGGUCCAAUCAGAAAAUCCAUGCCAGUUAGGAUAGUCUUAACUCAGAAAGGAGAGGGUGGCCAUGAUAUUAUUAAACAAUGGUUGCUUUUGUUCAAACCAGAACCCAGGGACUUAAUCUUUCAUAAUGAAGUUUCCCUUAGACAAAAUAUAGAACAAAAUGUUAAAUAGCACAUGUUUGGGGCAGAAAGAAGAGAAAAUUAGCUUCAAGUUUUUUUAACUUAAAAAAAAGGGAAAGGAGCCAUCAGAUUCUACAAGUAGCAUAGGUGACUCAAAGAAGAAAAGGGAUCAAUUUUGUUGUGACAAACUCAGUCAUUCUGACUGGACUUGGAAUUACCUCAGUUACCAGUUUGGCCUUCUGAGGGCAACAACUUCACUCUUCACUGCAGUCUCAAGAAUAUUCACAGUGUAGUUGCCACUGAGGUGGGAGUGGGUAAGGGAUGCACUCAUGAAAAUGGGGACAGCACUUCCCUGAAGGAUUGUUGACUCCUGUAAAGGAGAUGAUCACACUCUUGCUUGGCCUUGAGCUUAAUGGUGAAGCCCAAGAAGCAGAAAUGAGGAGCGUUGGAAAGAAUGAACCUCCUUUUCCCUAAAAAAAACCCAUUACAUAACAUUUUUUGGUUUCUCUGUGCCCUCUGUCACUACUACAAGGGACAUGGAUGAAUUUUCUAACUGCAAAUUAGCAAAACAGGAACUUGGCAUCUGUGCCUCAGCCCCUUGGUCCUCCUUGUUCUCUUGAAAGCCUGCUUAUCUACAGAGAGAAUACAUUCUGUUAUAUUCCUCCAGUCUUCAGACCUUAAAAUGGCAGGCAGGAUCUGUCCAUGCAGUUGAAAGCCUCAAGUUGUCCAACAUAACUAACUAUUCAAAGGUGUCCUUAAUUUAAGGGUUUAAUGUCAGAAAGUUCACUCUCCCACUUCUGUAAGCCAUUUUUUUCAAUAUUAUCUUUUUCUUUUCCUUUUUCAUACCAGGGACUGAACCCAGGGGUGCUUAACAACUGAACCACACAUCCCCAGUCCUUAUUUUAUAUUUCAUUUAGAAACAGUCUUGCUGAGUUGCUUAGAGCCUUGCUUUUGAUGAAGCAGGCUUUGAACUUGCAAUCCUCCUGACUUAGCCUCUGGAGCUGCUAGGAUUAUAGGUGCAUGCCACUGCACCCAGCCCAAUAUAAUGUUAAUUAGCAAUAAAGGUAAUAUGUCAUAUCCCUCUCUUUGGCCAUUUAUCAAGUGACCCUUCUAGAAGUUUCAUAGCCUAUCUGGGAUGGUGGAUAUGGCCAGGAUAUUAGGAAACCACUUCUUAGAGAUUCACCAAUAAUCCAGUGAGAAGGCAAAAUAGACAUAGUUCUAUGUAACUGUAACACUAAGGUUGGGCAAAAAAGCCAGAAAAUUGAUGGCUAGGAUAUCAUUUGUGAGCCAAAUGGACAAAGACAUUUUGAAGACCAUCAGAACUAGGCUUAGGUUGAGUUCAUUCCACCAACCUUAAGACAAGAAUUUGAAUGCAAAUUAUUUAUUUAAGAGGUAAAGCUAGGAGAAACCAGUUCAAACGAUGAAAAAUGAAAUGGAUGGAACACAAAACUGUAUUAAUGAAGAACUGGGGCUCAACUUCAGUGAGGACCUCUGGGAGAUGGCAUAGACCACUUUUUAUAUUGCCCUCCUCACCACCACCACCGCAAAGGAGCAAAAAAAAAAAAAACAACAACCAAAAAAAAAAAGCAGAAAUAUAUAUCCCCCAACUUGAUGGGUUAUGGUUUGAGGGCUGAUCCUGGGAGUAUUCCUUGGAAUUUCCAGCCUGCCUUACACAUUACUCCAACACUCUCUGGAGUCCAAAAAAGGCCCUUUUACAAAGACUCAGGAGACUAAUGGAAAAAAGAUGUGGGCUGGGUGCUGAAAACAACUGCUUCAACUAUAGACAUUGCAUAACAGCAAAAUAAGAGCUUAGUUGUCCUCAAGUCUUUUUUAUGUAUCACCUCACUUGACAUUCAAACACAAUGUUGUGAAGUAUCUAGGCAGCAGUUUUUCUCCUCAUCAAGAGUAAAGAGAGGAUGAGAAAACAGAAUUGGAGAGAUGAGAACUUGCCUGAAAGUAAGCACAACAGAAAUAUCCAAAAAAUAAUAUAUGGGAAUUUAAAAUGAGGACAAAGCCAAGUCUUGAACUUUUUUUAAUAAAUGGACACAAAGCAAUUCUCUUUAAUAAGAUGAAGUAGAACUUGAAAUCUGAACAAGAAUUAUUUUUUAAUGUAAGUGCUUUGCUGAAUUUAUAUACAGCAUUAACACAGCCUACUUCCACCAAAGACAUCAGAUUGCAGCUAUCUUUUGCUUAUUCUGCAAAAAUAGCCAUCCAGUCUCCUGGAAACUUCAUUCAACUUUUUCAUAAGCUUUAGAUGAUAGAUAGAAGAUUAAGCAGAAGCUUCAGUUGGAAUCUUAUUCCUAUAAUUGAUAUUUUGAAAAGCUAAAACAUGUUCAAUUCCUGGUGAUGGCAAUUUGCAUGAUUGAAUGGCAUUGCAAGACUGUUAAUUCAUACUGAAAACAUUCUGCAAAAUUAACAAUUUCAACGUUCUAAGACUCAAGGAAAGCAUUGUCCUUUUUGGAUUAUAAAAUUAGACUAUAAAAGAAAAAAUAUUCGAGAACAUUCUCAAUUACCUUGGACACAGGGCGAGAAAUAAAUAAAACUACUAUGAUUUUGGUGUUUUCUUCAUUCAAAAAUCAUUAGAAGAACAAAAUAAUGUGCUGUGAUAAAUAGUAAAAAAAAAUUGUAAAUUCAAAGGAUAAGAAGAAAGUGAAAGACAAAAAAUGAUCUCCUACUAUCACAAAAAACCAACCCACCCCACCACCUCCAUCAUUGCCUACAAAGAUAAAAUCUGAAGCUUAGUAUUUUAGGCUCCUCACAAUCUGGCCAAAACUGCCUCCUUUGUCAUCAAAUCUAUCUCCAAAUCUUGUCAAUUCUAACAAAAUACAUCUCAGUUUCUCUCACCAUCACCUACCUAAACUACUGUAAAAGUUUCCUAACUGGCCUCUCUUAACCUGGGCCCAUCUAGUCUGUCCUCAGAACAGCUAGAGUGUUUUUUAAUGAUUCCUUCCCAUGUGUGAUGACUUUAUUGAUUGCUUACCCUACAUCCACUCUCACUUUCUUUCCUUAUAAUUUUCAAAUUCUUUAUGGAACCACUGCAUCCUCAUUAUGUCACAAUCAUACCGUUGGAGAAUGACCCCAACCCCAGCUACAAGGAAGAGGGGAGUUAUAACCCACCCUUACUGCAGAGUGGGUUAGCAAUGAAUAGUAACUAAAUCUAAGCCAAAAAGUGUAGGAAGCCCCUGAUCACUGUGGCCAAUCCAAGUUGAUCAAUCAGAGGGAAGCUGGUUUAUCUUUAAAUGACCUAAAGAAGCUACAAUUUCCCUAUUCUUGUGAGAAGGAAACCAUGUACCCUGGUUGCUGCCAAAGCCUUCUUGCAGCAUUGAGAGAAACUGGCCCAGGGACUUUCAGAGAGAAUUUCAGAGAAAGGAGCCAGAAUCCUACCCCCUCUGAAAGCAGUGCUCCUCAGGCCAAUAAAUCCCUUUUAUUGUUUGAAACCUUUAAGUAGGGUUUCUAGUACAUGAAAUAAAAGCUUCCUGGUGAACACAAAAUCAACUCUAAACUGAAGACAUGCACCAAAUGUCUCCAAUCUUAUCCCCUGUGAAAUCCCACUCUUUUUCAGGUAACCUUUCUGUCUCAUAAGCAGGAAACCUUACUUUCCCUGCCUCAAUGCUUUUGAAUGUUUGUCCCUAUUCUUUAUGUUAAUGUCUCCUUAUCUUUCAUUCCUCACCUAAAGUAUCUCCUUGUAAUGACCCAGUCCCCUGUGUAGUCCUAUACUAAUGUAGGGCCAGGGAGGUUCGGCAACCCCAUGAGAAAAGAGGGGAGAAGGUCAGGAUGUCAGCUGAUCGUCGUCUCAGAUGCCACAAGCAAAUGUUUCACUCUCCCCUCUGUAAGAAUAAAGAGAUGGAAUCCCAGAUGGCUGCUCCCCAGGAGAAAAAGUCAUGGAAGCCAGGCCGCACUUCUCUGUGUGGGGGUCUAGAGGCCACAAGCUGGAAGCUGGUGUAGAGUGGUAGGUGAGGAGAGAGUGGGAUGAAAGCAAGACAGUGAAGAGACUAUAAAGAAGGACUAGAGAGGCUCGAGGGCCGACUGGUUACCACAGCAGAGGUGACAAGGACUUUGAAGCUAUGUUGUGUAACACAUGGUGUCUGGGUAUUCUGCAUAAAAAAUAAUUCUAUGGAAAACAGAAAUAGAUGUUACCAGGAGGCAAGGAAGAAGAUAUGGUAGCUACUGCUUAAUGAUUACAGAGAUUUUGUUGGGGUAAUGAAAAAGUUCUAGAUAGGGGUGACAGGUGUACAACAAUGUGAAUUUAAUACUACCGAAUUACACAUUUUAAAAUGGGGUAAAUCUUAUGUAUAUUUUAUCAAAACUAAAAAAAACCAUUCAGAGUAAAGGUGUAUUUGGAUUUACAGCUUCAGAGCUUCAAUCUAAGGUCUGCUUAAAAAAAAAAAAAAAGUUGUUUUUGAAUUAAAUAGAACUGGGCAUGGUGGUACACGCCCAUAAUCCUAGUUACUCAGGAGGCUAAGGCAGAAGUAUCACAAGUUUCAGCUAGACUCUGUCUUAGAAAAUAAAAAGGGUUGAGGAUGUAGCUCAGUAGUAGAACAUCCUAUCCAAUUAAAAAAAAAAAAAAAAAAGCUAGCUCACUGGUGACUCUGAAGGAAGAACUAGAACAGGCCAAGCCAACCUAGGAGGUUGGCACACUAAACUGGUCAGGAGGGGAUGAGAACUUCAACAAGGGCAGUAAUAGGAAUCAAUUCAGAAAUAGAAUGGUCAGGACCACAUGAGUUUCAUUUUGGACCUGCUGAUUUGAGGCAUUAUGGUGGACACUGCCCAGCUCCCUUCUUCAGGAUUAAGGCACACGUUUCCCCUGCUUGCCUGGGCAUAGCUAUCAAGGCCCACAGCUGCAUUCAUUUGUGGACAUUGUCCUUGACUAAAAGGAGAUGCAAGGGAUAUUGGAUACUUAGGAAGAAAUACUUGACAAGUGAACUAAUGGGAAGGGAUGGCAAUUAGAGUUUUGGUUGGAUUUAACAACAAAGAGAUCAUUAGUGACUUUAGCAAGAGGAAUAUAUGAAGAAGGGCAAGUUCUGGGUUUCCAGGGGAUGGAGGCCACAUAAGAAGCAUUGAAUACUUUGCUGGAUCUGACUCUUAAAGAAAGAGUAGGAAUCAGGCCAUGGGAAGACUAGCUAAGUAGGGAAAGUAGUGUGAACAAAAUAAUCCAGAGAAGUGGGUAGUACCCAGGCUUGGCUAUGAUAAAUGGUAGGCUAUAGAAUUUGAGAGCAUUCAACCAGGCUGUCACCAUACAUAUGCCUGAGUUUCACACAGAGUCUCACUAAGUUGCUGAGGCUGGCUUUGAACUUGCAAUCCUCAUACCUCAGCCUCCCAAAUUGCUGGGAUUACAGGCAUAUGCCACCGUGCCCAGAUUAUUAAUACAUUUUCUAAAAUGAGUUCUAUUAAGCCAAAUUAAUACUCUGAUCAGUUUCCUAACCUGUCUGAUAAAUUCAUUUCAGAUACUUUUUAUAUUUUUGUUAAUAUCAUGUUCAAACUUUUAAUUCUUCUUUUUAUAAAUACACAGGAAUAAUUGAAUAUAU